GUGUCCUGACUGGGAAUCGAACCAGUGACCUUUUGGUUUGCAGGCCAGCACUCUAUCACUGAGCCAUACCAGCCAGGGCUAAAGAACUUUAAAAUGCAGAGUGUUUUUGUUCAAUGUCGUUCUAUAGUAAACUGAGCAUAGCUUUAAAGACAAAGGUUUAUGAUUAUGGCCCGCAGUGGUUAGCUGAAAAGGUGCUGCUUUGGACAAACAGUCUCCUCAGUAUGAAAGGCUUCAGAUUAUCAACAGUUGCCAAGUGCUUUGACAGGCUCUGAGCAUAAGUUUCCUUUUCUGGUUUUAUCCUCAGCCAUUUCAGCUGUGAUUGAGAGCUGGCAGUGUCUCUGCGUGUAAGGAGAUACAGAAUGAGUGUUUACUGAAUGUAUGAAUGAAUAUGGCGAUUGUUGUAUCAAAAUUUAGUGAGCUCUAUAUUAGGUAGUAUUUAUUUGAUCAGCUUUGGAGAGCAGAUAUAGUAUACAAACAUUAAAUGAAUUUCAGUGUAGCUGCAUUAACAAUAAAAACAACUCAGUUUCUAGUCGCAUCUCAGGUUUACACCAGACAGAGAUUUGCUGAUUCACAACAAUUGUUGCUGGCACUAACCUGGUGCUUUACUGCUCUCCUUGGAAUACAACAUAGAAAACUUUUCACUGGACUGGAACGCAGGACCUGAAAAUCAUUACCUUUGUAUUGUCUCUUCUGGGUAGAUUUGUGGGGGAGGUGUGCGUGCAAGAGUGAGCUGUGGGAGAGUAAAAUAUUCUAGUUCUUUCUUUCCUUCUCGCCUGGCCCCUCUUGCCUUGUAGGGGUUUAUGUCAGCUCAGAGGCACUAGUUCUGGCUCAUGGUGAUUAAUGAAAGAUGAGUGCUAUAAAAGUUACUGCUCUGGUCCUCUGUGUAGUUUCUUUUUCCUCUUAGAUGGACUUUUCUCUUCACCCAGCCUGUCUUUUACUUUUGUUUGAUGUGUAUUUAGGACAUUGAAAAAGCUUACUUUAAUUCUGGCCUUAGGCAAUCAUAAUUAAAAAGGAAAAGUUUCUGUUUGCUGUUGCAAGAAGCCUCCUUCUACCUCUUGCUUCCUACCCCCUACAAUUGUACAUUUUUUAAUACUCAAGAAGAGAAUUUUAGAUUAUUCUUGUUUCUAUCCCUGUAUUAGUAAGUAUAAUUAAGAGGUGGGAAGAUUUGAUGUGGUUUGCUAAAUUUCUGAAUAACAGGAGAAACAUAAUGGUCCAUAUUUUUAAAAAUCUGUGCAUGGUAUUUGGGAAGAUUUUCUUUUACUAAAAAUCUCAUUUCCAGGAGUCUUCACGUUGUUAUACAUAAUUUGAUAAGACAAUCUGUCCUUGUUCUUCGUACUUGAAGGAGAUGCAGUGUAUAUUCUCAGGAGACCUGGGUGUGACCCUGAGAGGCCUUUCUUUGAUGAGCGUACCUUCAGAAACAGGGGUAAUCGGGGUCUGUCUCCAGGAAUUUUUUUUUUUCUCGAAAACUCAUUUCCACAUGUCAAAUGUAAACUAGGCCCGUAAACUGUAGCAAGCGCUUUCAUUUAACCAUCGAAACAUUUUCUGUUUUAGUUCCAAAUAAGGUAAUUUCUCCCCCACCCAUUAGAUAUUUAAGUUUCCCAUUUUUUGAGGGUGAGUGGGGUCAUUCAUUGCUGUUUACUUCUUUUUGUGAUAAUAGAUGAGCUGUUUCAGAAAUCCAGCUAGUCAGCUUAUAAUAAUAUUAAUGUUAGAUUUUUAGAGUUUGGAAAGCUCUGUUAGCAGAACACAUAUACAGGGAGGAUUCUACUUAAUUUAUAGGGUACCUUGAAAGAACUGUAAAUGUUUUAGUUUUUAAAAUUGUAUGUCAGAAAUAACUUUUAAGAGAGAAAUAGUCUAGAAGGAGAUACCAAGAAACUGUAAAUAGUGGGUAUCUUUGGGGAAUAGGAGUGGAGGGUUUCACUCUCUACCUUCACAUUGAAAAAACAGUCCUUUAUCCAACCAUCAUCAUCUACCCAUCUGUCUGUAUCAGCAAAGGAAGAGAAAUCCAGCUUGUGAUCUAUUUAAUAUAAUUGGUUUCUUCUCUAUAAGCAAAGAGCAUUAAUUGUUUAUCUAUGUAGAUCACCUUGAAAAAGCAUUAGUUUUGAUGUUCAGCAGGAGGGGAAAGUACUUAGUAAUUUUCAGAAAUGGUGCAUGGGGCAUUGAAAAGAGAAAUUCUAUUGGUGUGAAAUCUUCUAUUCUCCCUGUUUUCUGAGAUUCUUAUCGUGGUAUUUCUCUGCAUAAAGAACUCAGCUCCUUGGCUGUCAUACCACACUUUAAUGAACAACACUGUAAUUUGUGACUUGUGCUCUCUCCUUUUCAUCAACUCAGUACCAUCAUGCCCUGUCUCUAUCAAUUUACUUCAGAACUGAAAUUUUGUUUUUGUGUAAUGCCAUUUAGAGAAACCAAGAGCAUUUAGUGGUUUACAUUGAAUUUGGGGGAUAAGAAGAUAAUUAAAUCAGCUUUUGCUGCUUAAGAAACUACUCCAAAACUUGGUGGCUUAAAAACAGCCAUUUCUUUACUUUAGCAUUCUGUGGUUGGACAUUUUGGGUUGGUUUCAACUGUGUGAUGGUCUGGAUCUCCUCUAGGCUCACUCUCGCAUCUGUAGUCAGCUGACAGUUGAUGGUCACUUUUGCUGUGUCAGUCUUAUCAUCUAGCAGGUUAGUCUGGGUUGUGG
Molecule: long non-coding RNA, 2671 nt
Organism: Phyllostomus discolor (pale spear-nosed bat)
Lineage: Eukaryota; Metazoa; Chordata; Mammalia; Chiroptera; Phyllostomidae
Exons: 2
Source: RefSeq, a predicted model, not a curated record